AGAGUUUGAUCAUGGCUCAGGAUGAACGCUAGCGGCAGGCCUAAUACAUGCAAGUCGAACGCUCAGUUAGCAAUACUGGGAGUGGCGCACGGGUGCGUAACGCGUACACAAUCUACCUCUAAGCGGGGGACACCUCCUGGAAACGGGGAUUAAUACCGCAUAAUAUGCCGAGGUCGCAUGACUUUGGUAUUAAAGCAGCAAUGCACUUAGAGAUGAGUGUGCGUCCCAUUAGGUAGUUGGUGAGGUAACGGCUCACCAAGCCUAUGAUGGGUAGCCGGUCUGAGAGGAUGGUCGGCCACACGGGCACUGAGACACGGGCCCGACUCCUACGGGAGGCAGCAGUAAGGAAUAUUGGUCAAUGGUGGAAACACUGAACCAGCCAUGCCGCGUGGAGGAAUAAGGUCCUACGGAUUGUAAACUCCUUUUGACGAGGAAGAAAGUGUUAGAUUUAUCUAAUUUUGACGGUACUCGUAGAAUAAGCACCGGCUAACUCCGUG
This 497-nucleotide ribosomal RNA is filed under the name uncultured bacterium. Its description in RNAcentral is "bacterial SSU rRNA". It matches the Rfam family "Bacterial small subunit ribosomal RNA", at positions 8 to 507 of the family's 1533-position model. The record is from RNAcentral.